AAUAGAUACCCUGGUAGUCCGCGCCGUAAACGAUGAGUGCUAAGUGUUAGGGGGGUUUCCGCCCCUUAGUGCUGCAGCUAACGCAUUAAGCACUCCGCCUGGGGAGUACGGUCGCAAGACUGAAACUCAAAGGAAUUGACGGGGGGCCCGCACAAGCGGUGGAGCAUGUGGUUUAAUUCGAAGCAACGCGAAGAACCUUACCAGGUCUUGACAUCCCAUUGACCACUAUGGAGACAUAGUUUUCCCUUCGGGGACAACGGUGACAGGUGGUGCAUGGUUGUCGUCAGCUCGUGUCGUGAGAUGUUGGGUUAAGUCCCGCAACGAGCGCAACCCUUGUUCUUAGUUGCCAUCAUUUAGUUGGGCACUCUAAGGAGACUGCCGGUGACAAACCGGAGGAAGGUGAGGAUGACGUCAAAUCAUCAUGCCCCUUAUGACCUGGGCUACACACGUGCUACAAGUGGACGGUACAAACGGUUGCCAACCCGCGAGGGGGAGCUAAUCCGAUAAAACCGUUCUCAGUUCGGAUUGUAGGCUGCAACUCGCUACAU
RNAcentral lists this ribosomal RNA (548 nucleotides) under uncultured bacterium. RNAcentral's name for it is "bacterial SSU rRNA". It matches the Rfam family "Bacterial small subunit ribosomal RNA", at positions 777 to 1321 of the family's 1533-position model. The record is from RNAcentral.